This 423-nucleotide long non-coding RNA is filed under the name Triticum aestivum (bread wheat). Its description in RNAcentral is "long non-coding RNA (TAES_LNC014367)". Lineage: Eukaryota; Viridiplantae; Streptophyta; Magnoliopsida; Poales; Poaceae. The record is from RNAcentral.
GCCUUGAACUACCCCAUCUUAUAUACACAACAUUCAGGUACAACCUCCUUUUCGGUAAAAAAUGAGGGGCGAUGAUGAUGACUCUGGCUGAAAUAAGCAUGUCUUGAGCAAUCAAGACUGCUGUGGCCUGUGGGUACUAAAUUAGAGCCCACUCUUACCUCUCUUGCAGUCUGUUCAACUCAUCAGUAAUGUUGGAGGUUCUGCGCCUCGGAUGGUCAUUUUGGCGAGUGAUAACCAGGGCAUUCGUUUACAUUGCGAUGGGUAUGUUACGCAGCAAGAGAUGUGAGUGUUGGGCUUGAAGAUCAAAGACAAAACUGAGCCCUCUUUUGCUAUGCUAUAGAUACACAAAUUUUCCUUAUCUAUUAAUAAUAGACAAAUUUGCCUUAUCUAUUAUACAAAUACAUUGUAUAAUAGACAUACAAU